This 433-nucleotide ribosomal RNA is filed under the name uncultured bacterium. RNAcentral's name for it is "partial 16S ribosomal RNA". It matches the Rfam family "Bacterial small subunit ribosomal RNA", at positions 29 to 507 of the family's 1533-position model. The record is from RNAcentral.
AACGAACGCUGGCGGCAUGCCUAACACAUGCAAGUCGAACGAGACCUUCGGGUCUAGUGGCGCACGGGUGCGUAACGCGUGGGAACCUGCCCUUAGGUUCGGAAUAACUCCCCGACAGGGGUGCUAAUACCGGAUAAUGUCUUCGGACCAAAGAUUUAUCGCCUUUGGAUGGGCCCGCGUUGGAUUAGCUAGUUGGUAAGGUAAAAGCCUACCAAGGCGACGAUCCAUAGCUGGUCUGAGAGGAUGAUCAGCCACACUGGGACUGAGACACGGCCCAGACUCCUACGGGAGGCAGCAGUGGGGAAUAUUGGACAAUGGGCGAAAGCCUGAUCCAGCAAUGCCGCGUGAGUGAUGAAGGCCUUAGGGUUGUAAAGCUCUUUUACCCGGGAUGAUAAUGACAGUACCGGGAGAAUAAGCUCCGGCUAACUCCGUG